Molecule: ribosomal RNA, 255 nt
Filed under: uncultured bacterium
Lineage: Bacteria
Description: partial 16S ribosomal RNA
Rfam family: Bacterial small subunit ribosomal RNA
Source: RNAcentral
UACGGGGGGGGGCAAGCGUUGUUCGGAAUUACUGGGCGUAAAGGGCGCGUAGGCGGCCUGCUAAGUCGGAUGUGAAAUCCCUCGGCUCAACCGAGGAACUGCAUCCGAUACUGGCGGGCUUGAAUCCGGGAGAGGGAUGUGGAAUUCCAGGUGUAGCGGUGAAAUGCGUAGAUAUCUGGAGGAACACCGGUGGCGAAGGCGGCAUCCUGGACCGGUAUUGACGCUGAGGCGCGAAAAGCUAGGGGAGCAAACGGG